Long non-coding RNA from Camelus dromedarius (Arabian camel), 1241 nucleotides. RefSeq lists it as uncharacterized. NCBI's taxonomy places the organism in Eukaryota, Metazoa, Chordata, Mammalia, Artiodactyla, Camelidae. The record is from RefSeq and is a predicted model, not a curated record. The transcript has 3 exons.
CCGAGGGAGACGUGCUCUCAGGGGACGGUUUUGCCCCAGAGCCCUGUGAGCCCCGAGGUCGCAGGACGACGCCCUUCAGCCGCGAUUCGCCUGCGAAUGUCGCCUCUGACUCCGCCCAGAUGACGGGCGGCGAAGGGAAGCGGUCGGGGGCAAACAGCUCGGCCGUGCUGGCCACCCGGCCCCCAGCGUCCUCGCUCGGCUGUGAUGUCCCCAGCGCCGCCUGCACGGCCCGGAGGCACAGAGGUCCCGCUUCCAGGAGAUCUGUAAGUCUGAGGCUUCUCCCAUCACUUCAUACUGCAUUACGCUCUCUCCACAUUUUCCCCUAAACUUCGGCAGGAGUGGUUUUUACGCACCCCAUGGUGUGUAGCCGUCACCUGCUGAAGGACUCUCAGGUUCCACCAACAGUACACGUGGUGAACAAGUGACUGUUCGUGCUACUGAUUUCAAUUCUUUUGCAUGUAUGUCUGGAAGUGGAGUUACUGGGCCAUAUUCUUUUGAGAAACUGUCCCAGUUUUUCCCACCGCGGCUGCUCCGUUUCACAUCCCCACGAGCAGAGCACAGGGGCCCAGAGUCGCCACGCCCUCACCAGCUCCCACUUUCUCUGUUUUCAGUAGCGGCCGCCCUAGCAGGUGUGACGCGCUGUGGCGCUGCGGUUUUGAUUUUCAGUCUCCUAGUCUUUAGUGACGUUGAAACCUCAUGUGCUCACUGGCCAUUUGUAAAUGUUUGGAGAAAUGUUAAGUCAGGUCCUUUGCCCAUUUUUUUAAAUUGAGUUGGCCGUUGUUGUCGAGUUGUCAGUAAUAAUAUCUUCCCCACAGAUUUCCAAGUUCCCAGCUCUCUUUCUACCAUCUGUGCAGGAGAUGCGUUGGGCACAGGACGGCAGCCUCAUUUUGGAAGUAGAAUCUCUUUGGGGCGUAAAUUCCAGCCCUUCCCUCCGGCAUCAUCAUGCCUCUCAUUUCUGUGCCUUGGUGCAAAACCAGGGUCUGAUAAUAGUUUCCUCAUUCAUGAGUCAGUGUAUAUAAAUGUUCCCAGCGCUGAGGCUGGUACAUGGUAAGUGCUCGAUUAAUUUUAGUUGAAUCUGAAUCUGAAUUAUCUUUUUUGGUUAUUCUCUGAGUGAGCUAUAUUUCUGAAAGGAGGGGAAAAAAAGAAAUGCAAUUAUCUGACACAAGAUACGUUAACCGUGCUUUUUAUUCUGUAAUGCAAUAAUAAAGUGAAAGGCCAAGAUAAGUGAAUUUAAUAAAAUA